RNAcentral lists this ribosomal RNA (240 nucleotides) under uncultured eukaryote. RNAcentral describes it as "partial 18S ribosomal RNA". It matches the Rfam family "Eukaryotic small subunit ribosomal RNA", at positions 1208 to 1456 of the family's 1831-position model. The record is from RNAcentral.
GGGAACCUCACCCGGCCCGGACACCGCGAGGAUUGACAGACUGAGAGCUCUUUCUCGAUUCGGUGGGUGGUGGUGCAUGGCCGUUCUUAGUUGGUGGAGCGAUCUGUCUGGUUAAUUCCGAUAACGAACGAGACCCCAACCUGCUAACUAGCCCUCGGGUCCUGCUUCUGUUGGGCCCGACGGAAUGAUUCGCUUCUUAGAGGGACUGGCGACUCUUAGUCGCACAAGAUUGAGCAAUAA